RNAcentral lists this ribosomal RNA (468 nucleotides) under uncultured bacterium. Its description in RNAcentral is "partial 16S ribosomal RNA". It matches the Rfam family "Bacterial small subunit ribosomal RNA", at positions 28 to 507 of the family's 1533-position model. The record is from RNAcentral.
GACGAACGCUGGCGGCGUGCUUAACACAUGCAAGUCGAACGGAAAGGCCCUGCUUUUGUGGGUUGCUCGAUUGGCGAACGGGUGAGUAACACGUGAGUAACCUGCCCUUGACUUUGGGAUAACUUCUGGAAACUGGGGCUCAUACCGGAUAGGAGCUCCUGCUGCAUGGUGGGGGUUGGUAAGUUUCGGCGGUUGGGGAUGGACUCGCGGCUUAUCCGCUUGUUGGUGGGGUAGUGGCUUACCAAGGCUGUGACGGGUAGCCGGCCUGAGAGGGUGACCGGCCACAAUGGGACUGAGAGACGGCCCAGACGCCUACGGGAGGCAGCAGUGGGGAAUAUUGCACAAUGGGCGGAAGCCUGAUGCAGCAACGCCGCGUGCGGGAUGACGGCCUUCGGGUUGUAAACCGCUUUCGCCUGUGACGAAGCGUGAGUGACGGUAAUGGGUAAAGAAGCACCGGCUAACUACGUG